Long non-coding RNA from Capra hircus (goat), 1050 nucleotides. NCBI's taxonomy places the organism in Eukaryota, Metazoa, Chordata, Mammalia, Artiodactyla, Bovidae. The record is from Ensembl.
CUGGGAAGCUGCCGUAAGGCUGUGCUAUGGCAAAAACAAGGAGCAAAUAACAAAUAACCUCCAUGGGGUCCAGGAGACAGUGGGUCCACGGUGGGAGAUCUCUGAAGAGAGUUCCUGGAAGAUAACAGUUCUCGGCCCUAGAAGGAUCACGUCUUCACAGACAUGGGAGAAGAGGGCUUCUGGGACACACACAAGUUUCUCCAAAGUGCAGGCCAUGGAUGGUGUGAAGGUGCCCUGCGGAUGCUGUGACAGAGCCUGGGCACAGCUUUGCAAAUCUGCUUCUUUAUGCUGCACGUUCUCAUCACAGAUGGUCUCACUGUCCUUGCCCACCACUACUGGCCCUGAAAUUGCAAGGCCGUGUGGACCUGGGGCUAUGGUGAGUUCUUGCAUUUUAGCCUUGAAGGGUAACAUAGUGAUGUGUUUUUCUCUCUCUUUUAUAGCAUUUUUUCAUGUACCUUUGCUUGGAAGGGAAUUAGUUUGUAACACAGUCUUUUCGUUUCAGGAGAUUUAUCAAUAUUUAUUUUGGCCACCUGAUGCGAAGAGCUGACUCACUUGAAAAGACCCUGAUGUUGGGAAAGAUUGAAGGCAGAAGGAGAAGGGGACGACAGAGAAUGAGAUGGUUGGAUGGCAUCACCGACUCAAUGGACAUGGGUUUGGGUAGACUCCGGGAGUUGGUGACGGACAGGGAGGCCUGGCAUGCUGUGGUUCAUGGGGUCUCAAAGAGUCGGACACAACUGAGUGGCUGAACUGAACUGAUCAAUAUUUAUACUGGUUUGGAAUUUCAGGCUGAACACUACUGAAAAUCUUAUUCCCACAGAUUACCAAUUCAACAAAAGAUCUGGAUACUUACCUAGAAGAAUUUCCUUUGCAGAGGUCACAUUUCUAAAUUCUCCUUUGUAUUGGUUUUCGACCAGGUGUUUAUAAUAUAUUAACAGCUAUGUUUGACAAACCAAAUGAACCAGUCUCUGUCUUCAUGGAGUAUAAAUUGUGAAAGAGAUGUUGACAGAUAUACAUAAAGAGGGCAACCUUUGGCUAAUGUAUUUUGUUAUU